Long non-coding RNA from Panicum hallii, 1906 nucleotides. RefSeq lists it as uncharacterized. Lineage: Eukaryota; Viridiplantae; Streptophyta; Magnoliopsida; Poales; Poaceae. The transcript has 3 exons. The record is from RefSeq and is a predicted model, not a curated record.
GCGGAGCGGAGGGCUGCAAGCGACAAUGCCCUUGGGGAUCGAGCAGCCGAGCACCGCGAUGGCGGCGGCCGCAUGCGGGGAGCGGGGGAGGAUUCGGCGAGGGACGAGCGCCGCACCACGCGCAUGCGCCGCAUGCCCGCAGCAGCAACGCCGGCCUAGGCCAUAGGCCUGGUAGCUGGUGCGCCUGCCCCGGAGCCCCGGAGCGCUGGCCGGCUACCCUGCGUGGCUGCACUGCACAAUGAUUUCAUGGAGGGGGAGCCACGGCAACGGGACGCAGGGAUUAUGGAUCCAUCCCUGUCGAGCUUCGUGGUGUUAGAAAGCAAAGAUUCAAGACACCAAGUGACGUGUUCUUAUUUCUGAAAUUUCAGUCUCUUAUAUACAAGCAGCUCUACACGUUGAUUACUGAAGAAUCAUUCUACACAUUUUGUUGCAGUGAUCUGUACAUGCAGAUAAAGACAAGUUAUGAUGCUUGUGUGCUGGCGCAGGCGGCAGGUAUUCCUAUGCUUCUCCAUUGCAUCAAAUAUUUGCAUAGCAUGCUUUAUGAUAACAUAACAAUUUGACCUUUGUUCUGCAUUGAGAGGUCCUAUUUAAAUUUUCUGAUUAUCAAUUCUAUCGAUUGGUUAUAAUAUAUCAUCUAAGUAGCAUGGGUACUAUACUAUGAGGUACCAAUCUGAUACUAUAAUUCUUGUUUCUUUCCCAAUUAUAGAUGAAUGCAAAUUUAGUUGUUUCAAUUUGUAGACAUAAAACACAUGCUAUAUGACUGGGUAAAGAUUUACUGGCACACCUUUUCCUUUUAGACAUAAACACAUACUAGAAUGUGCUUCUGGUAUGCUUUUUGGAGUGUGCAAAAUACAUUUCUUUAUGUUAUUGCCAGGGAUGAAUUUUGCAUUACUUGGAGGGGGUAGGGUUUAGGGUUUGUCGUCAAUUGUAAGGUAAUAUGUAAUAUGAUUGACAAUUGGGCCUAGGCCCUCCAUCCUCCACAUGACACUGACUAAGUGCCUAAUGCUCAAUCUGAGGCAUGCCAAAUGCUCUUUGCUCAGAUAGGCACUAUUUAUCACAACAAAAAUUAGUUUUUUACUUGUAUUAUUAAUUUAUCAUGCUCCAUUGUUUAGGCCUUUUGAUUUUACAGCACAUAGCCUUGUACAAAUCUGCCAGUCGUCCCAGAUGAACUGGGAAAUGUACAUCUAAAUGAACUCAUACCUUUAAGCUCAAUUUAGCAAUCUGUCUGAUGACUGAACUCUGCAGCUUGGCUUGACCAAAAAUGGUUCUGAAGAUGACUGGUAUAACAUGGUUGUUUAUGGAUCACCCAAAGACCACAGAGGGGUCAACGGUUCACCGCAGCAUAUAACAUGUGGAAAGGAGCGCCCUCACGUGCUCUAUUUUUCUUUGAUUUUGAGUGCCAUAUGUUGCACUAAAACGAUUAAGCAUUCACAUCCUAAGGCCUUUGUGUUAUUUUCACUUAACCUCUGUAGCCCAUAUAAUUUCAUUCAGUGUGAGCUCAUACAACAGUAUAUAGUGCUGGCACUCUGGUGAUGGUAAGGAAUGAGGUUGGUCAGUUGCUUAUCUCGAAUAAUCAUAAGAUCCAUUCUUCUCAAUGUGAGCUAUUCUGUAAAGGUUGGGUCAUGCUAACAUCACAAAAUUGACAUCUGAGCUGCAAGAAUGGGGCUUUCAAUCCAGAGAUUUUUCUCUCUCACUAUUGUGAUAUUGAUUUGCAAUACAGCCCCGUUGUCAAUCAAGUAUAUAGGAAAGAAAUGGUUCCUGAGAGCAAUGGAUUUCUUUUGCCAAAUGAUUGAGGUGGAUGUAAGAGUUUCUGGGUUUAUUGUAUUGUAGCCUACAGAGAAUUGUAAAUUAAUAAGAAUGCUGAUCCUUUGAGAAUCUGUAUAAUUGUAUUUUCACUUUCCUUUUA